Non-coding RNA from Cinara cedri, 311 nucleotides. The record is from the annotation of a GenBank genome assembly. NCBI's taxonomy places the organism in Eukaryota, Metazoa, Arthropoda, Insecta, Hemiptera, Aphididae.
AAGAGAUAUUUGUUUACUGGGACCGAGUUUACUCGAUUUGGGUAUACGAACGUGAUGUUUGCACCGUAAAUAUUGACACAUGAGCCGCAUUAUUUCUUACACGAUAAAGUGAUUGUCAUCGGUUGAAAAACGACUUUAAAAAUUGUCUUGUUGACGGUAGUAAUAUUAUUUUAUACAGAUAUGUAACAAUUUAAAAAAAAAUUUUUACGGUCAAUUGAUAAAAAAAGACGGUAUAAUAAUGUAUAUAACCGUACAUAUAAUUUAAUAUGUAUUUUGUCAGUUAGAUAAUUUCUGUAAAUAAAAUUAUUAUU